This 358-nucleotide ribosomal RNA is filed under the name uncultured bacterium. RNAcentral's name for it is "bacterial SSU rRNA". It matches the Rfam family "Bacterial small subunit ribosomal RNA", at positions 29 to 416 of the family's 1533-position model. The record is from RNAcentral.
AACGAACGCUGGCGGCAGGCCUAACACAUGCAAGUCGAACGCUCCGCAAGGGGAGUGGCGCACGGGUGAGUAACACGUGGGAACCUACCUUCUGGUACGGAACAACCAAGGGAAACUUUGGCUAAGACCGUAUACGACCUCCGGGUGAAAGAUUGAUCGCCGGAAGAGGGGCCCGCGUCCGAUUAGGUAGUUGGUGAGGUAACGGCUCACCAAGCCUUCGAUCGGUAGCUGGUCUGAGAGGAUGACCAGCCACACUGGGACUGGGACACGGCCCAGACUCCUACGGGAGGCAGCAGUGGGGAAUAUUGGACAAUGGGCGCAAGCCUGAUCCAGCCAUGCCGCGUGAGUGAUGAAGGCC